GGGUGUGACUGCGUACCUUUUGUAUAAUGGGUCAGCGACUUAUAUUCUGUAGCAAGGUUAACCGAAUAGGGGAGCCGGAGGGAAACCGAGUCUUAACCGGGCGUUAAGUUGCAGGGUAUAGACCCGAAACCCGGUGAUCUAGCCAUGGGCAGGUUGAAGGUUGGGUAACACUAACUGGAGGACCGAACCGACUAAUGUUGAAAAAUUAGCGGAUGACCUGUGGCUGGGGGUGAAAGGCCAAUCAAACCGGGAGAUAGCUGGUUCUCCCCGAAAGCUAUUUAGGUAGCGCCUCGUGAAUUCAUCUCCGGGGGUAGAGCACUGUUUCGGCUAGGGGGCCAUCCCGGCUUACCAACCCGAUGCAAACUGCGAAUACCGGAGAAUGUUAUCACGGGAGACACACGGCGGGUGCUAACGUCCGUCGUGAAGAGGGAAACAACCCAGACCGCCAGCUAAGGUCCCAAAGUCAUGGUUAAGUGGGAAACGAUGUGGGAAGGCCCAGACAGCCAGGAUGUUGGCUUAGAAGCAGCCAUCAUUUAAAGAAAGCGUAAUAGCUCACUGGUCGAGUCGGCCUGCGCGGAAGAUGUAACGGGGCUAAACCAUGCACCGAAGCUGCGGCAGCGACACUGUGUGUUGUUGGGUAGGGGAGCGUUCUGUAAGCCUGUGAAGG
This 667-nucleotide ribosomal RNA is filed under the name Salmonella enterica. RNAcentral describes it as "partial 23S ribosomal RNA". It matches the Rfam family "Bacterial large subunit ribosomal RNA", at positions 589 to 1256 of the family's 2925-position model. The record is from RNAcentral. Lineage: Bacteria; Pseudomonadati; Pseudomonadota; Gammaproteobacteria; Enterobacterales; Enterobacteriaceae. RNAcentral also lists the same sequence under 1 other name.